RNAcentral lists this ribosomal RNA (283 nucleotides) under uncultured prokaryote. RNAcentral describes it as "partial 16S ribosomal RNA". It matches the Rfam family "Bacterial small subunit ribosomal RNA", at positions 355 to 632 of the family's 1533-position model. The record is from RNAcentral.
UGGGGAAUCCUGGUCAAUGGGCGAAAGCCUGAACCUGCGACGCCGCGUGAGUGAUGAAGGUCGUAAGAUCGUAAAACUCUUUUCAGGGAUCUUAAAGCCUGUCUGUCAACAACAGGCAGGUCUGACUCUCCCUGGAAGAAGCCCCAGCCAACUACGUGCCAGCAGCUGCGGUAAUACGUAGGGGGCGAGCGUUAUUCGGAAUUACUGGGUGUAAAGGGUAUGUAGGCGGCCCUUCAGGUCGCGUGUCAAAGUCCAGUGCUCAACGCUGGGUGUGCACGCGAUA